Molecule: RNase P RNA, 424 nt
Filed under: pig gut metagenome
Description: Bacterial RNase P class A
Rfam family: Bacterial RNase P class A
About the family: Ribonuclease P (RNase P) is a ubiquitous endoribonuclease, found in archaea, bacteria and eukarya as well as chloroplasts and mitochondria. Its best characterised activity is the generation of mature 5'-ends of tRNAs by cleaving the 5'-leader elements of precursor-tRNAs. Cellular RNase Ps are ribonucleoproteins.
Source: RNAcentral
GAUGAUCGCUUGCGUUCUAAUUUUAGGUAACGUAAGAGGAAAGUCCGGGCAGCGUAGAACAAGAUAGUUGCUAACGGCAACCGGGGGCGACCCUAGGGAAAGUGCCACAGAAACAAAACCGCCUCGCCAAAAGCCAGUGCUGCAAGGUCGUUUACGGCUCGGCAGUUACUGAGAGGUAAGGGUGAAAAGAGUGCCGUGCUUUUUCGGCGCGGGGCGAACUGUCUUCUCGUUUUUUGUGAAGGCAAGCGCCGGGUAAGAGCCCACAGCGACGCAUGGUGACAUGCGAAGGAGGUAAACCCUGUCUGCUGCAAGGAGGUGCUGGCGCAUUGGCUGUUCGCCAGUCGGCAUCGUUAUCCGCUUGAUCCGCUCGGCAAUGGGCGGGCUAGAUAGAUGAUCAUCCACGACAGAACCCGGCUUACCGGUG